GAGGGUACAGCUCAGUGGUAGAGUGCACGCUUAGCAUGCAUGAGGUCCUGGGUUCCAUCCCCAGGGCCUUCU
RNAcentral lists this transfer RNA (72 nucleotides) under Camelus bactrianus (Bactrian camel). It matches the Rfam family "tRNA". From Rfam's summary of the family: Transfer RNA (tRNA) molecules are approximately 80 nucleotides in length. Their secondary structure includes four short double-helical elements and three loops (D, anti-codon, and T loops). Lineage: Eukaryota; Metazoa; Chordata; Mammalia; Artiodactyla; Camelidae. The record is from Rfam by way of RNAcentral. RNAcentral also lists the same sequence under 2 other names.